Molecule: long non-coding RNA, 1871 nt
Organism: Olea europaea var. sylvestris
Lineage: Eukaryota; Viridiplantae; Streptophyta; Magnoliopsida; Lamiales; Oleaceae
Exons: 4
Source: RefSeq, a predicted model, not a curated record
ACUACUUCAUCCAUCCAUUGACAGCACUCCAAGAAAAAAAAAUAUAUCAUUUCCAAACCAAAAUCCUUCUCUCUCGCUAGAAAAAUGUCACAAAUCUUUCACUCCUCUCCGCCGCAACUUCACCCGACUACCUCACUGCCUUAGCCUUUGUCUCUCUCUCUCUCAUCUUGAAUUGAUUUCAUUAUGAAAGGUGAACAAUUUGCUAUUGUGAAGCCAUGGCAAUGGUUUUCAUGUUGUUUUGCAGCUUAGACAACUUUUAAGAAAAUGCCACAUUUUGGAGUUGGGAUGGAGCCAUAAUGAAGAUCAUAAAAUUCGAGUAUGAAGUGAAGGGAAUCGAAGGAAAAGAACAUGGCAACGAAGCGUGGAAAUUGAACAAAGCAAGAAAGAGUAGUUUCAUGGACGCCGUGACGCCAAAAUUGGGCGCUUGGGCGUCCAAGGAAAAAAAAAGUUGGCGCUGCAUAAAAAAGGGAACAGCAAGUGGUGCCUUGGCGCUCGACACAAAAAUAGGAAAGUGCAUUUUUCUGGCCCAGAUCCGAUUCUUCUCAUCUUGUAACUUUUGGGAAAGAUAAAUACCACAAAAAAGACCAAGAAAAGGGGGAUUUUUCUGGCAUUGAAAAAAGAACUCAAGGCAAAAACAAGAGAUCAAGCAAUUCAAGGAGGAAGAUUUACAAUCAUUGGGAGAAGAUUCAAAGUGACAAUACAAAAGAUGAGAUCAAAUCUGGAAGAGAAGUUAAUGAAGAGGAUGGCAGUUGAUCAUUGAAAAGCCGAAGAAUGGAGAGCCACAGCUCAGCUUCAGCACUCGGAACAAAUUUAAGACUCUGAAUAAUCGCGCAAGAUGAUGAACCAAAAUACAGUGCAUUUCUUAUGUCACAAAUCUUGUGUUUACUUCCCUUGCAAUAGCCAUCACUUAUGAAUUCAUUCACCCCAGCAAUCAGAAAUUUCAACAUCCAGAUUGUGAUAAUUAAAAGGCUAUCAUCUUAAAAAAAUAAAAAAAAUCAUGUAGAGAGAGUUGAGUUCUUGAAAAUAGAAAUGUGAUAAUUUGCUAAUUAACAUGUAAUGGGAUAUUACGACACUUCUUUGCGUUGAUGAUGGCAAUUUCUUCGUGUCACUUGAUUAUUUUCUUAAUAUUUCUUAAAAAAAGACUGCAAGUGCGGUGAACCAAGAGAAACUAGUACCUGAGGAUGUAAGUUUUGGGUUGUUGUCGAAGAGACUAGAGGAAGGAUAUUGCAGGGGUGAAACUGGCUUUAUUUUGGAUAGAGUACCUCGUACGAGAAUUCAGGCUGUAAGUAGUGAUGCUGUCCUCUCCUUUUGGAUGGUUUAUCAAGACUCACAAGUCUCUUUAGAUGGAAUAUAUUGAAUUGAAGUAUCUCUUUCAUGCUUUUGACAUGUAAGAUAAUGCAAUUUUACUCUUAGCAUGUUAUCCAAGUUUCGAUUGAAUUGCGAUUUGUUUUUAGUCUGCAUCUAGUGUUAUAAGAGUAGGAAAAAUACUCACAAACAUUCUCAAGAAGAACUUUGAUGUAUGUGACUGCUAUGGUCCUUGCAGGAAAUCAUGGACUGAAUUACUGAUAUAGAAUUGGUGCUGAACUUUAACAGAGUAUAUUCUUGCUCCUUUUCCUCAUUUUCUUCCAUUUUUUCUAUCACUUUGUGCAGUUACACGGUUGAGGCAGACAACCCCCUGUAUGGCACUUGAUUGGUAUGUAAGCAUUGAGAUUUUAGUUAAUCUAGUUUUAUUUUUUUACUUGAAUAAUGAACUCUUUGUAAAGAAUCUAUACUUUUUUCAUAUUCUCUUAGCUAUUUCUUUUUGUCCAUUUAUUUUAGUAGGGCUACAUUGAGCAAUGGAUUUACUUUUCCACUUCUGAGAUUGAUGUUAA